RNAcentral lists this ribosomal RNA (133 nucleotides) under uncultured bacterium. Its description in RNAcentral is "partial 16S ribosomal RNA". It matches the Rfam family "Bacterial small subunit ribosomal RNA", at positions 355 to 485 of the family's 1533-position model. The record is from RNAcentral.
UGAGGAAUAUUGGUCAAUGGACGAAAGUCUGAACCAGCCAUGCCGCGUGCAGGAUGACGGCCCUAUGGGUUGUAAACUGCUUUUAUACAGGAAUAAACCACCGAACGUGUUCGGUGCUGAAGGUACUGUAAGA